Molecule: ribosomal RNA, 401 nt
Filed under: uncultured Lactobacillus sp.
Lineage: Bacteria; Bacillati; Bacillota; Bacilli; Lactobacillales; Lactobacillaceae
Description: bacterial SSU rRNA
Rfam family: Bacterial small subunit ribosomal RNA
Source: RNAcentral
UACCAUUUGGAAACAGAUGCUAAUACCGGAUAAAAAGCUACUUUCGCAUGAAAGAAGUUUAAAAAAGGACGGCGUAAAGCUGUCGCUAAAGGAUGGACCUGCGAUGCAUUAGCUAGUUGGUAAGGUAACGGCUUACCAAGGCGAUGAUGCAUAGCCGAGUUGAGAGACUGAUCGGCCACAUUGGGACUGAGACACGGCCCAAACUCCUACGGGAGGCAGCAGUAGGGAAUCUUCCACAAUGGACGCAGGUCUGAUGGAGCAACGCCGCGUGAGUGAAGAAGGUUUUCGGAUCGUAAAGCUCUGUUGUUGGUGAAGAAGGAUAGAGGUAGUAACUGGCCUUUAUUUGACGGUAAUCAACCAGAAAGUCACGGGCUAACUACGUGCCAGCAGCCGCGGUAAAU